This 340-nucleotide ribosomal RNA is filed under the name Nitrosomonas sp. Its description in RNAcentral is "bacterial SSU rRNA". It matches the Rfam family "Bacterial small subunit ribosomal RNA", at positions 94 to 437 of the family's 1533-position model. The record is from RNAcentral. Lineage: Bacteria; Pseudomonadati; Pseudomonadota; Betaproteobacteria; Nitrosomonadales; Nitrosomonadaceae.
AGUGGCGAACGGGUGAGUAAUACAUCGGAACGUGUCUUAAAGUGGGGGAUAACGCAUCGAAAGAUGUGCUAAUACCGCAUAAUCUCUGAGGAGGAAAGCAGGGGAUCGAAAGACCUUGUGCUUUUAGAGCGGCCGAUGCCUGAUUAGCUAGUUGGUAAGGUAAAGGCUUACCAAGGCAACGAUCAGUAGCUGGUCUGAGAGGACGACCAGCCACACUGGGACUGAGACACGGCCCAGACUCCUACGGGAGGCAGCAGUGGGGAAUUUUGGACAAUGGGCGCAAACNUGAUCCAGCCAUGCCGCGUGAGUGAAGAAGGCCUUCGGGUUGUAAAGCUCUUUC